RNAcentral lists this ribosomal RNA (427 nucleotides) under uncultured eukaryote. RNAcentral's name for it is "SSU rRNA". It matches the Rfam family "Eukaryotic small subunit ribosomal RNA", at positions 592 to 1018 of the family's 1831-position model. The record is from RNAcentral.
CAAUAGCGUAUAUUAAAGUUGUUGCAGUUAAAAAGCUCGUAGUUGGAUUUCUGGUACAACGCGCCUGGCCCGCUUUAUGUGAGUGCUGGUGCGCGUUUGCCAUCCUUCUAGAAAACGUUUCUACCCUUUACUGGGCCGGACUCGCGAUCUAGAUCUUUUACUUUGAAAAAUUAGAGUGUUCAAAGCAGGCUUUUGCUGUGAAUACAUUAGCAUGGAAUAAUAAUCUAGGACUUCGGUUUUAUUUUGUUUGGUUUCUUAACACUGAAGUAAUGAUUGAUAGGGAUAGUUGGGGGUUGGCUAGUAUUGGCCGGCCAGAGGUGAAAUUCUUGGAUUCGGUCAAGACUAACUUAUGCGAAAGCAUUCACCAAGGAUGUCUUCUUUAAUCAAGAACGAAAGUUAGGGGGAGUCGAAGACGAUCAGAUACCGU